This 406-nucleotide ribosomal RNA is filed under the name uncultured bacterium. Its description in RNAcentral is "partial 16S ribosomal RNA". It matches the Rfam family "Bacterial small subunit ribosomal RNA", at positions 30 to 526 of the family's 1533-position model. The record is from RNAcentral.
AUUGAACGCUGGCGGCAUGCUUUACACAUGCAAGUCGAACGAGUGGCGAACGGGUGAAUAAUAUAUUGGAACGUACCUAGUAAUGGGGGAUAACCAAUCGAAAGAUUGGCUAAUACCGCAAAUUCUUCGAGCGGCCAAUAUCGGAUUAGCUAGUUGGUGGGGUAACGGCCUACCAAGGCGACGAUCAGUAGCGGGUCUGAGAGGAUGAUCCGCCACACUGGGACUGAGACACGGCCCAGACUCCUACGGGAGGCAGCAGUGGGGAAUUUUGGACAAUGGGCGCAAGCCUGAUCCAGCCAUGCCGCGUGUCUGAAGAAGGCCUUCGGGUUGUAAAGGACUGUUGUUAGGGAAGCGGUACCUAAAGAAAAAGCACCGGCUAACUACGUGCCAGCAGCCGCGGUAAUAC